Molecule: small RNA, 656 nt
Filed under: Pan troglodytes (chimpanzee)
Lineage: Eukaryota; Metazoa; Chordata; Mammalia; Primates; Hominidae
Description: retained intron
Source: RNAcentral
GAGAAGGCUUGUGCCAGCCGGGAGAAGGAAGCCGGGGACAGGAUGAAAGCAACAACACCUUUACAGACAGUCGACCGGCCCAAGGACUGGUACAAGACGAUGUUUAAGCAAAUUCACAUGGUGCACAAGCCGGGUCUGUACAACCCACCCUACAGUGCUCAGUCACACCCUGCUGCAAAGACCCAAACCUACAGACCUCUUUCCAAAAGCCACUCUGACAACAGCCCCAAUGCCUUUAAGGAUGUGUCCUCCCCAGUGCCUCCCCCACAUGUUCCACCUCCAGUCCCACCGCUUCGACCAAGAGAUCGGUCUUCAACAGAAAAGCAUGACUGGGAUCCUCCAGACAGAAAAGUGGACACAAGAAAAUUUCGGUCUGAGCCAAGGAGUAUUUUUGAAUAUGAACCUGGCAAGUCAUCAAUUCUUCAGCAUGAAAGACCAGUAAGCACUUGUCAUUAAACAGAAUAUGCCAGCUCGCUGGGCUCCCAGGGCUCCCCAAUAAACCUGAAUUUCAGACCCAUUAGCAAUUUUUGUCACAAAGGUAAUCACUUAGAAAUCAUGUUUAUUUUGUAUCAUGAUUUGUACAUCUCAUCUCAGAAUUGAAAGAUACAUGUUCUAAUAUAUUGUCUUUACUGACCAAAUACAAGUGUGUGUGUGUG